RNAcentral lists this ribosomal RNA (330 nucleotides) under uncultured bacterium. RNAcentral describes it as "bacterial SSU rRNA". It matches the Rfam family "Bacterial small subunit ribosomal RNA", at positions 568 to 898 of the family's 1533-position model. The record is from RNAcentral.
UGUGUAGGCGGUCCUCUAAGUUUGGUGUGAAAUCUCCCGGCUCAACUGGGAGGGUGCGCCGAAAACUGGAGGGCUAGAGUGCGGGAUGGGAGAGUGGAAUUCCUGGUGUAGCGGUGAAAUGCGUAGAUAUCAGGAGGAACACCUGUGGUGUAGACGGCUCUCUGGACCGCAACUGACGCUGAGACACGAAAGCGUGGGUAGCAAACAGGAUUAGAUACCCUGGUAGUCCACGCCCUAAACGAUGCAUAUUUGGUGUGGGUCAUUCAUUUGAUCCGUGCCGGAGCUAACGCGUUAAAUAUGCCGCCUGGGGAGUACGGUCGCAAGGCUGAA